This 279-nucleotide ribosomal RNA is filed under the name uncultured bacterium. RNAcentral describes it as "partial 16S ribosomal RNA". It matches the Rfam family "Bacterial small subunit ribosomal RNA", at positions 506 to 784 of the family's 1533-position model. The record is from RNAcentral.
UGCCAGCCGUCGCGGUAAUACGGAGGAUGCAAGCGUUAUCCGGAUUUAUUGGGUUUAAAGGGUCCGUAGGCGGAACUUUAAGUCAGUGGUGAAAGCCUACAGCUUAACUGUAGAACUGCCAUUGAUACUGAAGUUCUUGAAUAUAUAUGAAGUGGGCGGAAUGCGUCAUGUAGCGGUGAAAUGCACAGAUAUGACGCAGAACACCAAUUGCGAAGGCAGCUCACUAAUGUAUUAUUGACGCUGAGGGACGAAAGCAUGGGGAGCGAACAGGAUUAGAUA